CACGUAGGGCGCAAGCGUUGUCCGGAAUUAUUGGGCGUAAAGAGCUCGUAGGUGGUUUGCUGCGUCCGCUGUGAAAACCCAAGGCUUAACCUUGGGCUUGCAGUGGAUACGGGCAGACUAGAGGUAGGUAGGGGAGAAUGGAAUUCCCGGUGUAGCGGUGAAAUGCGCAGAUAUCGGGAGGAACACCGGUGGCGAAGGCGGUUCUCUGGGCCUUACCUGACACUGAGGAGCGAAAAGCGUGGGGAGCGAACAGG
This 254-nucleotide ribosomal RNA is filed under the name uncultured bacterium. Its description in RNAcentral is "partial 16S ribosomal RNA". It matches the Rfam family "Bacterial small subunit ribosomal RNA", at positions 524 to 776 of the family's 1533-position model. The record is from RNAcentral.